RNAcentral lists this ribosomal RNA (305 nucleotides) under uncultured bacterium. Its description in RNAcentral is "bacterial SSU rRNA". It matches the Rfam family "Bacterial small subunit ribosomal RNA", at positions 337 to 640 of the family's 1533-position model. The record is from RNAcentral.
UCCUACGGGGGGCAGCAGUGAGGAAUAUUGGUCAAUGGUCGGGAGACUGAACUAGCCAAGCCGCGUGAGGGAUGAAGGUACAGAGUAUCGUAAACCUCUUUUGUCAGGGAACAAAGGCGGGGACGUGUCCCCGGAUGAGUGUACCUGAAGAAAAAGCAUCGGCUAACUCCGUGCCAGCAGCCGCGGUAAUACGGAGGAUGCGAGCGUUAUCCGGAUUUAUUGGGUUUAAAGGGUGAGCAGGCGGUCUGUUAAGUCAGCGGUCAAAGCCCGGGGCUCAACCCCGGCCCGCCGUUGAAACUGGCAGG